RNAcentral lists this long non-coding RNA (2550 nucleotides) under Salmo salar (Atlantic salmon). RNAcentral's name for it is "lncRNA (ENSSSAG00000111373.1)". Lineage: Eukaryota; Metazoa; Chordata; Actinopteri; Salmoniformes; Salmonidae. The record is from RNAcentral.
ACACCCCCUCGGGCAUUAAUGCUUAAAUAUAUAACAAACUUUCAACCAUUAUUAAAAUAUAUAGCCUACAGUCUUGUGCGUUUAAAGCAGUGAGUGUUUAAAUCAAAUUUAUUUAUAAAGCCCUUCUUACAUCAGCUGGUAUCUCAAAGUGCUGUACAGAAACCCAACCUAAAACCCCAAACAGCAAGCAAUGCAGGUGAUUUAAUAAGUAUGAGGUUUGGUGUCAUAAUCAGUGUUUUCUGUUUUAAUAUUUACAAAGUAUGUAUUACGGCAUUAAAGACUGGCACUUUGGCUGGUGGCAUAAUUGCUAGUCUUAGAACUCUAAAUAGUGGUUGUAGGAAGUCACUACAGGACUCUGUAUAAUUCUAAACCCGUGCUAAUGCACACUUCUUUGUGACUGGUCUAACACGAGUGGACCUCCACACGAGUGUACAAACCCUUUCUUGGUCUCCUGAAAAUGGUCAUUAACUAAGGCAUGCAGCGGACACUCACAUUUAGAAAAUGGCGGCUAACCUGAAACAUAUGUUCUUAACACACUUCAGAGUAAAACCAGCCCUGCAAAAUUAUCCUUGAUGAAAGCAAAAGAAUUUUAAGUAUCUUCUAUAAAGCUCUGGCGUCAAUGCAGUAACUCAAUUAUAUACUGUAAAUACAAGACAUACAAAAUAUGCGCCCAGCAAAUGUCAACAUGAAAGAAGGUUCAUACCAAGAAUUGUUGAAUAACAAUGCUAAUUCUAGCAUCCUUAUAAUAUCAAAAUACAGUAUAGAAUAUGCAUAAAAUACCAUAAAGCUUAAAUAUUCUCUCUGCCACCCACCAAAACCAACCUUUGGUGUAUUUUAAGUAAGGGUACUUUUUAUACAUGAUGUAAACCAUGCUAAAAUUGGCCAAUUUUGUUGAUCAAAGGCUAAUUGAAGAAGUAAAACAUUCGGUAAACCCUGCUUUAGGUGAGCUAGUUAUUGUUAGUUUAGUGUUUCUAGACUAGUGAUAUGCUGCCACCCACAGUAUGGAGACGCCGCUCCCCGCCUGAUGACUGAUCUGAUUGAUGCGUCCUCGUACGCAGUCCAAUGUGACAAAAACUGCCGUGCCAUUGUGGACCUGGAAGGAGGCCCGCAGCCCCACACUUGCCCAUCCACUGCCCUCUGGCAUCUGGCCCCCGAAUUGCUGGGCCAGGGGCACUGGCUUGCCCUCCUCCCCAGCCCCCUCGCCUCUAUGUCGGAGCAGGGUGAUUUUAACCGGGUUGCAGGAGUGGAUCAGCUUCAGGUCCAGUGCUAAGCUGGCUGUCCCGCUCUCCGUGAAGACAAACUCGCGUCCUUGUUCAGAGCGACCCUUCCCUGGAAGCCCGACCUGCACCUGCGGCAUGUGGGGGCUCACCUGGCGGAAAUACAGGGGCUUGUUGCGCACCGCUCCGGAGGGCAAGCCUGUGCGUGCCACGGAGGCAGAGAGGGCGGAGGAGAUGGCAGUCGGGACCCACACCAGACUGAGGGCGCUGAUGCCGGAAUCGUCACCGAAGUAGCGAAUGUUGCACUGCCCCGGGGAGAGGAUCUCAAAGCCCAGAGUAUCGCCGGGGUCGACCCUGGUGGCAGCCGAUAGGGUGAUGGACGUGUCGCGGUAGUGGACACCAGUCUUAUAUGUUCGAGCCAGCUCCAUGCUGCUCCCAUUGUGGUUGAUGUAGGCCAGCAGGUGAAAGCCUUCCGUCACGCACGUCUGGCCCAUGGAGUAGAGCGCCUGUUGGAACACAAAGCGCACUGUGCCGCUUUCAGUGAAGCGCACUCCACGCCCAUCGUGAGUCAGCCCCACAACGUACGGGUCAGAGGUGGACGUGGUUUUGAAGGCGGGCCGGUAGUUGGUGUGGUAGUGCGCCGAUGACACUGCCUGCGCCGUCAUGGCAACGGCCCCGGUGUCGUGGGACAGCCAGAAGAGACUGAGAGGUGCCACAGAUGGGUCAUGGAGGUGCAGGCCAUCACUUGUGUGGUUGCAAUGGUGGCUGGCACUCCUGAGGAGCAGGGAGAGCAUACUUCCUGGAGCAACUUCUGCCACCCCACUGACACUGGCACUCUGGAGCGACUUUACUUCCCGCUGCUCCACCCUGACCCCACUAAGGUCCCGCCCCUCGGCCAGGUCACUGGUGUUAAGCUGCAGACACACCUGGACGAAACUGCGACAUCCAUGGCUCAGGGCCAAGUUCUCGUCUGCCCACACAAGGCCGUGCUGUCGUAGCACCAGAUGGCCGUCUUCGGUGGCCAGCAGAUUGCUGUCGCCCCGCCCCUGGAUAUGGAGCUGCAGGUUGGGGAAGGCGUGACCAGGGGCGUGGCUCUUGGCAGGAGGCAGGGUCACAUCCCCAGCCCAGGACAGGGACAGCCUGCUGCUGUCAGUGGAGGAGGGGGUGGAGCAGACGGUGUCACUCGUGAAGGUGCAGGGUGUGGCCACUUGCUCCACCUCACACUCCUGACAGGCCUGACACUCCUCCAUCUCCGAGUUGUAGAAGUAGGCAUGUCCACACAAGCCUGUGCUAGCCUCUCUGUCAGACAAGCCGUGGCACCUGAAUCCACCUG